RNAcentral lists this ribosomal RNA (97 nucleotides) under Emergencia sp. The record is from RNAcentral. Lineage: Bacteria; Bacillati; Bacillota; Clostridia; Peptostreptococcales; Anaerovoracaceae.
GGAUACACCUGUACCCAUCUCGAACACAGAAGUUAAGCUCUCAAGCGCCGAUGAUACUUGGUGGGAAGCUGCCUGGGAAAGUAGGUCGUUGCCGGUU